GAUUCGGCGAUUAUCCUGCGGAAUAUAAUCCGAAAGUUCACGGACCCUACGAUCCUGCUCGCUACUACGGCAAACC
Molecule: long non-coding RNA, 76 nt
Filed under: Anopheles dirus
Lineage: Eukaryota; Metazoa; Arthropoda; Insecta; Diptera; Culicidae
Description: sphinx_ conserved region 1
Rfam family: Sphinx_ conserved region 1
Source: RNAcentral